This 541-nucleotide long non-coding RNA is filed under the name Brassica napus (rape). Its description in RNAcentral is "long non-coding RNA (BNAP_LNC005289)". Lineage: Eukaryota; Viridiplantae; Streptophyta; Magnoliopsida; Brassicales; Brassicaceae. The record is from RNAcentral.
CCUGUUGGUCAAUAUCAGACAGUUCUUCUAAUGAUGUCUUCACGCUGAGCCAUACUUGUCCGAGGAUUCAUCUUCUGUUUCUUAGAGAUUGUUGUUUAGCAGAUCUAGGUCGAUGACCUCUAGAGUUUUAGUUUAUGUGCAAUUGAAACUGAUAAAACGAAGGGAGAGAGGAAGGCGAAGGAGCCAAUUCACCAUGGAUGUGGAGUUCGGGAAAGACGAAGAAAAAGAGUCUACGACGACGAAAUCCAGCGGCUUGACGGAUUAGGGUUCUGAGUUAGACUUUGAACAAGGCCAAUCCAUAUGUGUUUCUUCAAGUAAACAAUGAAGAAGAAGAUAGAGAUAAUGAUUUUUCUUCUUCUUUGUAAAACGGAAAUGUUUUGGAAAACAAAAACCCAUUUCUACCAAAACUCACGCUCCAAAUGAGAAAAUCGGAAUGAGUAGAUCGAGAGCGGAUUAAGUGGAUCAAACGGAUCAAACGGUCCAAAACAUAUGUUCGAAUGGUAAAAAUGGAUAAAAAGCGGUUCAAAAUACUGUAUAGAUC